UACGAAGGAUGCAAGCGUUAUCCGGAUUUAUUGGGUUUAAAGGGAGCGUAGGCGGUCUUAUAAGUCAGUGGUGAAAUCUCGUUGCUUAACAACGACCGUGCCAUUGAUACUGUAGGGCUUGAGUACAGUUGCCGUUGGCGGAAUGUGUCAUGUAGCGGUGAAAUGCAUAGAUAUGACACAGAACACCGAUUGCGAAGGCAGCUGACGAAACUGUAACUGACGCUGAGGCUCGAAAGCGUGGGGAUCAAACAGG
RNAcentral lists this ribosomal RNA (253 nucleotides) under uncultured bacterium. Its description in RNAcentral is "partial 16S ribosomal RNA". It matches the Rfam family "Bacterial small subunit ribosomal RNA", at positions 524 to 776 of the family's 1533-position model. The record is from RNAcentral.